CCAGAAUUGAGCGUUUCUUCAGACUAUGUGUUCUCCCUGAAGUGUUGGGACAGCAACUUACAAGGGGAAAGUUUCAGUUGCAAGAUGAUCAGGAGGGAGAGAAGGCGUGAUUACCAGCACCUGUGGUCUGUCCUGGUCCCGGAAGUUGUGGUUCUCUCCUUGUUGCAUUAUUAUUACGUGCCGUAGUGGGUGCUGGUGUUUGGGUGUGUGUGGGUGUCUUUUUCUCUCUCCCUCUGAUCUCCCCAGGUGCUCCCAAUCUCCAAUCAGCGCCUCCAUAUAGGACAUGAGGAAGGUUGCAGUCGCUCUCCCCUUAUCUUAAGCUUUGUUUGACAAGUUGGCUGGUGAGCCCUUUUUCGUUGUGUUAAUUAAAAGACCACUUUAUGGCGUCAGAGAUCA
This is a long non-coding RNA of Gymnodraco acuticeps, 396 nucleotides long. RefSeq lists it as uncharacterized. Lineage: Eukaryota; Metazoa; Chordata; Actinopteri; Perciformes; Bathydraconidae. The record is from RefSeq and is a predicted model, not a curated record. The transcript is spliced from 2 exons.